This 87-nucleotide small nucleolar RNA is filed under the name Lachancea mirantina. RNAcentral describes it as "Small nucleolar RNA snR79". It matches the Rfam family "Small nucleolar RNA snR79". The record is from Rfam by way of RNAcentral. Lineage: Eukaryota; Fungi; Ascomycota; Saccharomycetes; Saccharomycetales; Saccharomycetaceae.
UUGAAUGAUGAUACAAACCAUGUGCUCGAAGAUCAACACUCAAUGGGAGCGCAAUGAUUUCUCAAUAGACUACAACGGUAUCUGACC